Molecule: microRNA, 20 nt
Filed under: Saccoglossus kowalevskii
Lineage: Eukaryota; Metazoa; Hemichordata; Enteropneusta; Harrimaniidae
Description: sko-miR-4836-5p
Source: miRBase by way of RNAcentral
AAAGUUUUGGUCCCUGAAGA